UUCGUUAAUAGACAUACCUAUUUCAAUAAGCAUAUUUUAUAAGCAAUGGUGCAGUGGUGUGCACGCUUCUAUGAUUGCUUCUAAUCGCACGACAUGCAUAUUAUCUACACUUCAAAGUCAAGCAACAACUGCCACUUCCUCUUCAUCAGUCCUAAUAAAAAACCCCAUUUCAUCAACUAAGAUAUCUACUCAAUAUAUCAUACUCUCUAUCAUAUAUGGCACCCAUCACCACCCUUGUCUCCUUCAUUCUCACUCAUUUUGGGUUUCUCUUGAGCCCUUGGACACCCGCAUUCCACAGUUUCGGGUAUGAAAAUCCUCCCGUUGGUGUCUUCCCUCCUCUCGUUGGUCUCUCCCCCUUGGCUUAUGGUUUUGCAACCAUCAUGUAAUCUCUUCUUCAGCUACCUGCAUUCUUGUUCGAGAUCCCAUAUCAAAUGUCCACCUGGGUAUGUUCAAGUUCAAGUUCAAGUUCAAGUUCGAAGAAGGCUAGUCUUUUGGUUUUGGAGCUGCGAUGGCAUGGUGUUUUGAACUUGUGAUUUAGGCAAAUAUCAAUUGCUUAGCAUGUAAAUGUAUUAUAUAUGCGUAGGAUUUGUUGUAUGCACCAUAUAUCCUUAUAUUUUCACAAAUUAAGCUAAUCGGUCUCCGUUGUCUGUAAUACAUUUCAGCCCAAGUUUUACUGUAGCAGUGUUGUUUAAUUUAACUUUGAAGAUAGUUGAUUCCAAGUUUGACAAUUGUGAGUUUAGAACGACUAUCUGCUUUAAGCAUAGAAGAGAAUGGAGUCGCCUAGAAGAAAAGCAAUUAACUACUACACACCCACCCUCUAGCAUAUGUCACAAUUCAUCACCCUCUAUUUUUUUUAAAAUAGGAGAUUUCCUAUUGAGAGGAGCGAUAAUAUAUUAAACUCACACACACUACACGGAUGUUAGGACUUGAAUCCAGAACCUUUCGUGAAUGAGCAAUUACUCCAAACUACUACACUAGUGGGUUAUUUGCCUUCACCCUCAAUCUUUAAUUGUGAGGAACAUAUGCAUUUAUCUAACAAACUAAAGUCAUUCC
RNAcentral lists this long non-coding RNA (1053 nucleotides) under Prunus persica (peach). RNAcentral describes it as "long non-coding RNA (PPER_LNC002784)". Lineage: Eukaryota; Viridiplantae; Streptophyta; Magnoliopsida; Rosales; Rosaceae. The record is from RNAcentral.